AAGUAUUAUACGGCGAAACUGCGAAUGGCUCAUUAAAUCAGUUAUAGUUUAUUUGAUAAUCGAAAGUUACAUGGAUAACCGUGACAAAUUACAGCUAAUACAUGCAGUCAGACCUGGUCCAAGGGUCGUAAUUAUUAGAUAUUAAACCAAUUCCUCCGGGAUUGUGAUGAAUCAUAGUAAUCGAACGAAUCGCAGCAUGCUGCGAUAAAUCAUUCAAGUUUCUGCCCUAUCAGCUUUGGAUGGUAGUGUAUUGGACUACCAUGGCAGUCACGGGUAACGGAGAAUUAGGGUUCGAUUCCGGAGAGGGAGCCUGAGAAACGGCUACCACAUCUACGGAAGGCAGCAGGCGCGAAAAUUGCCCAAUCCUGAUUCAGGGAGGCAGUGACAAGAAAUAACUACCCUAGGAUUUCUUAGGAGUGUAAUGAGGAUAAUUUACAAACCUUACCGAAAGCAAUUGGAGGGCAAGUCUGGUAAACUUUUUUCACUUAUUGCCAGAUGUAACAUAACAAAUAAAGUAGAUAAAAUUCUGCUGAUAAGUUGCAUAACAAGUCUAAUAAGAGUAAUUUAUCAAUACUUUAAUUUCAAGAUCAGUAUUUGCACCAAUACUACGAGACAAUGAAGAUCGUAAAAACUUAAGGGAUUAAUCCCAAUUUAGAGUGUAAGUUGGUUCCUGCUUAAGAUGGAAGAUGUUCCGUCAACAGCAAGAAAGUUUUUUACGGUUAUCAACUUGCUGCUUUUAUUAAAUUUGGAAGACUUAAACUUGAAAAGGUUUAUGCAAAUAAAAAUAGCAAGUAAGCGUUGUGUAUUUCUCAUAUUUGUGGUACGCGAAAUUGUGUGAAUGAGGAACAUAUUGCUAUUGAAUCCAAAUAGACAAAUGAUCAGAGGACACACUGCCAUUAUAAUAUGAGAAAUGUUGGAAAAUAGCUGAUCAAGUAGUAUUGUAAAUUGAACAAGAAGUUCAAAUACUGCAAACACGAGCCAGCUUGUUGUUUUGCUGAUUGAUAGCUUCAUAUCAUUAACUUAGAUUUGUUUUGUUACUUUGACGUUUGUUAUUUUGCAGAAAGUUGAGAUGAGAUCCAACUGUACAAUCGUAAAUUGCGGGAAACUCCUAAAGCCUAUUCUACCGCAGCAUUAUCAAUAAAAAGAUAAUGUGUAGCAGGUGAAGUAAUGUUCACUGGAUGGUAAAAACGAAUAGGAUGAUCAGCCCUCAAGAUCGCAAUGGACAAUCCGCAGCCAAGCUCUCUAAUGGGGAGAAGGUUCAGAGACUAUAAUCGAUUGGGCGCAAGCUUAAGGUAUAGUCCACUCCCACUUCGAAAGGAGUGCUUUUAAGUUAUUAAGGAUUCUCAAUCCCUAGGGCUUAAAAGUUCCGUUUGACUAUAGAACUAAAUAUCUAUAGAAGGAAGGUAUAAAGGGCCAGCAGCCGCGGUAAUUCCAGCUCCAAUAGCGUAUAUUAAAGUUGUUGCAGUUAAAAAGCUCGUAGUUGAAAUUCUGGUUGCUAAGGCUUCUAGUCUUCGGACGGAAGUGCUUACAGCCAUCCGCUUGUAAAUAUAUUCUCGCUCUUCACCGGGCGGUUAUAUGAGCAAGCAUUUUACCUUGAGAAAAACAGAGUGUUCCAGGCAGGUUUGUCCGGAAUGCAUUAGCAUGGAAUAAUAGAAUAUGACUGAGGUCUAUUUAUUGGUUUAAGGCCACAGUAAUGAUUAAUAGGAACAGUCGGGGGCAUUGGUACUUGACAGUCAGAGGUGAAAUUCUUGGAUUUGUCAAAGACUAACUGAUGCGAAAGCGUUUGUCAAGGAUGUUUUCAUUAAUCAAGAACGAAAGUUAGGGGAUCAAAGACGAUCAGAUACCGUCCUAGUCUUAACUAUAAACUAUACCGACUCGGAUUCAGAUGAAUCGUAAAGUUCAUUUGGGACCGUAGGAGAAAUCAAAGUCUUUGGGUUCUGGGGGGAGUAUGGUCGCAAGGCUGAAACUUAAAGGAAUUGACGGUUUUGCACCACCAUGGAGUGGAGCCUGCGGCUUAAUUUGACUCAACACUGGGAAACUCACCAGGGCAAGAAGAUUGUAGGAUUGACAGAUUGAGAGUUCUUUCUUGAUUGGUCUAGUGGUGGUGCAUGGCCGUUCUUAGUUGGUGGAGUGAUUUGUCUGGUUAAUUCCGUUAACGAACGAGACCUUAACCUGCUAAAUAGUACAAGUAUUCCAAAUGCUUGUUACUUCUUAGAGGGACUAUGUGUUGUAAACACAUGGAAGUUUGAGGCAAUAACAGGUCUGUGAUGCCCUUAGAUGUCCUGGGCCGCACGCGUGCUACAAUGACAUAUUCAACGAGUAUUUCCUGAUCCGAAAGGAUUUGGGUAAUCUUUUUAGUGUAUGUCGUGUUAGGGAUAGAUCUUUGUAAUUAUGGAUCUUGAACGAGGAAUUCCUAGUAAGCGCAAGUCAUCAGCUUGUGCUGAUUACGUCCCUGCAAAAUGUACACACCGCCCGUCGCUAUUGCCGAUUGAGUGCUCAGGUGAACCUUCUUGAUUGUUGCAAAAUGAAAAAUUAAGUAAACCUUAGCACUUAGAGGGAAUAAAAGUCGUAACAAGGUUUCC
Molecule: ribosomal RNA, 2582 nt
Filed under: Cothurnia sp.
Lineage: Eukaryota; Ciliophora; Oligohymenophorea; Sessilida; Vaginicolidae
Description: SSU rRNA
Rfam family: Eukaryotic small subunit ribosomal RNA (bases 1301-2582)
Source: RNAcentral